Symphalangus syndactylus (siamang) is the source of this 647-nucleotide long non-coding RNA. RefSeq lists it as uncharacterized. The record is from RefSeq and is a predicted model, not a curated record. Lineage: Eukaryota; Metazoa; Chordata; Mammalia; Primates; Hylobatidae.
GUAAAAACAACUGGUGAAGAGAAAAACCAUUUAUUUUCAACACUUAAGCGACAAAGCAUCUUCUAGUCGGUUCCGAUCAUGUUACUGCUUUUCCUCAACUUUUUCGUCGGUGCAUGGGUGGUUCAGUGGUAGAAUUCUCGCCUGCCACGCGGGAGGCCCGGGUUCGAUUCCCGGCCCAUGCAAUACAAGAUUGCGUUUUGGACCGGGCUCGGGAGGUUGCCGUGAGCCAAGACCGCACCGUUUUAACUCCAGCCUCGGCAACGAUGAGCGAAACUUCAGAAGCGACCUGACGGAGAAGAGAGCAGGACUAUUUAAAAGAUUCUGGCAAGAGGAGCUCAGUUUCUCCAAAUGAAGAAAUGUGUGACACCCUCCCAUCUCACAGGAUUGCCGGAAAAACACAAAAAAGGCAGUGUUUAAACAUGUCGUAACUGGGCACUGAAUUGUACCUGGCCCUUCUCUCCUCUGGUUAACCCGGUCUGAAGACUUGGAGACAUCUGUCACAUUUUAGAUGCAGAGGAGUAUUCCAGCUUAAAUGGUUGCUUUCAGAGUACUAAUUCUUGGCCUCCCUCCCCCGCCACAGAAAAGAACCUCUUAUGGUGGGAAAUUCAGUUUGCUGAAAGCCGGAUAUUAAACAUAAUUUUGAGAUA